CUACUUUCACCCCUAUGCUUACUAUAUAACCUGUAGAAAAAGAUCAUCUACUACACAAAUCUCAAAGUACUCUUGGUAUAUGAGCUAUAGUUAAGGAUUAUCCGUAAUACAAAUCUCAAAACACACCAAACCUCUUCAUUCAUUCUCCUACAUAAAUCUCAAAGCAUUUUUAGUGCAUGAUAUAUAGUUAAGGAUUAGUAUCGAGC
RNAcentral lists this long non-coding RNA (206 nucleotides) under Elaeis guineensis (African oil palm). Its description in RNAcentral is "long non-coding RNA (EGUI_LNC014875)". The record is from RNAcentral. Lineage: Eukaryota; Viridiplantae; Streptophyta; Magnoliopsida; Arecales; Arecaceae.